RNAcentral lists this long non-coding RNA (487 nucleotides) under Rosa chinensis. RNAcentral's name for it is "sRNA RchiOBHm_Chr2g0101691". The record is from RNAcentral. Lineage: Eukaryota; Viridiplantae; Streptophyta; Magnoliopsida; Rosales; Rosaceae.
UGAAUUACUGAUCUGUAUGGGCUCUUCCUAAAAUUUGGACCACAACUUCUGGCUAAAGGAUGAGUUUGACAAUUUAAGGUGAUGAGCUUAUGACACAGCCUCUCAUAUGGAAGAUUUAGUGCGUCUUCACUUCGCCUGCUGAACACUAGCAUUGUAGCAUCUUUUAACAUUUAGAGUGUGCUUUCUAAAUCUGCCUUGAUAAUUUCAGGAGGGUCUUUCGUUUUGGUCAGUAGAAGGGGACCUCAGCGGAACAUCACAUUGAUUCCUGCUUUUCUUUCUUUUUCUUUUCUUUUUUGGGCUUUUCUGAAGCAUUGGUGUUUUUGUCUUUCAUUUGGUUUACGUUUACCGUAGCCUCCGUAUGUGCAACGCAAAUUAUAUUGAAGUUGUCGCCUACAGUUUGGGAAGAUCAGCUUCCCCUUAAAUGCCCUGAAUGUUUUUAACUUUGACCGUUUUGAGUCACGCUGUCUCGGGUUCUGUACUUCUCUGA